Molecule: ribosomal RNA, 749 nt
Filed under: uncultured bacterium
Lineage: Bacteria
Description: bacterial SSU rRNA
Rfam family: Bacterial small subunit ribosomal RNA
Source: RNAcentral
AUUGAACGCUGGCGGCAGGCUUAACACAUGCAAGUCGAACGAUGAAGAUAUAGCUUGCUAUAUCGGAUUAGUGGCGGACGGGUGAGUAACACUUAGGAAUCUACCUUUUAGCGGGGGAUAGCUCGGGGAAACUCGAAUUAAUACCGCAUAAUUUCUACGGAAUAAAGAGGGCUUUUAGCUCUUACUGGAAGAUGAGCCUAAGUAAGAUUAGCUAGUUGGUGGGGUAAAAGCCUACCAAGGCGACGAUCUUUAGCUGGUCUGAGAGGAUGAUCAGCCACACUGGGACUGAGACACGGCCCAGACUCCUACGGGAGGCAGCAGUGGGGAAUAUUGGACAAUGGGGGCAACCCUGAUCCAGCCAUGCCGCGUGUGUGAAGAAGGCCUUUUGGUUGUAGAGCACUUUAAGCAGUGAAGAAGACCUAUUGGUUAAUACCCAAUAGCGAUGACAUUAACUGCAGAAUAAGCACCGGCUAACUCUGUGCCAGCAGCCGCGGUAAUACAGAGGGUGCAAGCGUUAAUCGGAAUUACUGGGCGUAAAGCGAGCGUAGGUGGUUAAAUAAGUCAGAUGUGAAAGCCCUGGGCUCAACCUAGGAACGGCAUCUGAAACUAUUUAACUAGAGUAGGUGAGAGGGAAGUAGAAUUUCAGGUGUAGCGGUGAAAUGCGUAGAGAUCUGAAGGAAUACCGAUGGCGAGGGCAGCUUCCUGGCAUCAUACUGACACUGAGCUCGAAAGCGUGGGUAGCAAACAGG